CUAGGUGAUGCUCCAAUGGCGGGGCAGCGGGCUGUAACCCCGUGGCGUUAUACGCAGGCAGGUUCGAUCCCUGUCACCUAGAC
This 83-nucleotide transfer RNA is filed under the name Gordonia phage Syleon. RNAcentral's name for it is "tRNA-Tyr". RNAcentral also lists the same sequence under 1 other name. The record is from RNAcentral. Lineage: Duplodnaviria; Heunggongvirae; Uroviricota; Caudoviricetes.